Molecule: ribosomal RNA, 176 nt
Filed under: Aneurinibacillus thermoaerophilus
Lineage: Bacteria; Bacillati; Bacillota; Bacilli; Caryophanales; Paenibacillaceae
Description: 16S rRNA. Bacterial SSU
Rfam family: Bacterial small subunit ribosomal RNA
Source: RNAcentral
CUUUUUUGGAGAGUUUGAUCCUGGCUCAGGACGAACGCUGGCGGCGUGCCUAAUACAUGCAAGUCGAGCGAACCGAUGGAGUGCUUGCAUUCCUGAGGUUAGCGGCGGACGGGUGAGUAACACGUAGGCAACCUGCCUGUACGACCGGGAUAACUCCGGGAAACCGGAGCUAAUAC